GUUGAAAAGGAAAAGAAAUCGAAACAUAUGUACAUUUAAAUGUAAAUAAAUGUAAACGUGUGAAAUGAGGUAGAAGUGUGUGUGUGUGUCGGAAACGAUGUGCAUGCAAACUGAAUUGAUAAAAAACAUGAUAUGCGCG
Molecule: non-coding RNA, 139 nt
Organism: Caenorhabditis elegans
Lineage: Eukaryota; Metazoa; Nematoda; Chromadorea; Rhabditida; Rhabditidae
Source: Ensembl